Molecule: long non-coding RNA, 502 nt
Organism: Xyrauchen texanus (razorback sucker)
Lineage: Eukaryota; Metazoa; Chordata; Actinopteri; Cypriniformes; Catostomidae
Exons: 3
Source: RefSeq, a predicted model, not a curated record
ACGGCAUGUGUGACCAAUCAAAUGUCAGGUAUCUAAAUGAAUGAUUGGAUCACAGUGUUUGGGUUAUAAUAAAUAGACUGUAGCCACAUCACCCUGCAGCUCUCACCUGGUUACCCACUGAAGUUAGACAGGGUUGAGUCUGGUCAGAACCUGGUCAGUGAGGCCAGCAGGGGGCGCUCACCCUGUGGUCUGUGUGUGUCCUAAUGCCCCAGUUUAGUGAUGGGAUACUGUACUCUCAAAAGGUACGAGAGGUUAAACUAAGGUCCAGACUCGCUGUGUUCAUUAAAUAUACCAGGGUACUUCUCAAAGAUUACAUGGGAUGUUGUAGGUAAUGUGGGUGCAGUGAGGUGGGAUGUUGUAGGUAAUGUGGGUGCAGUGAGGUGGGAUGUUGUAGGUUAUGUGGGUGCAGUGUGGUGGGAUGUUGUAGGUUAUGUGGGUGCAGUGUGGUGGGGUGUUGUAGGUAAUGUGGGUGCAGUGUGGUGGGAUGUUGUAGGUAAUGUGG